AUCCUGGAGAGAAUACACUGAGCAACUAUCUGAGAACUAUGAAGAGUAAAAAGCAGAGCAAUUGGAGAAGAUCAGAAUUUGAACUAUAAGCAAACUGGCAGUGAUUCCUCUAGCAACUCCAGGCCUAGACUCAACUCAUCCUGAAAUUUGGGGGUGCUCAUCAGCAUGGAUAGAGGAACUACUAAAAGAAACUGUCUAGUUUUGGGGUAGAAAAGGUCGGACGCUAUGAACUUCACUGACCUGCAUCCAAGUGGAGCAAACUUCUAAAACUUUUAGGAUGGGAGGAAAUCACCUGCAGGCCAGCUAUGCUCUGCAGCUGGAGCAAAUUAUAUCAGAGAAGUGCUGAUGUGACCACAAGUUGACAAAAGGACAUGAUUUCUAGUAGCAAAAAAGCAACUAGAUUUUAUGAAAUUGUAUCUAAUAAUGUUGUUUAACUCAUGGAUCCUGCAUCUGACGCCUGCUUUUUAUCCAGUCCUUUCAGCGGCCCUUUGUUAACAGUCACUCAGAAGAGGAAAUAAAAUGUAGCCAUUGAAAUAAAAAUUGCUCUACUCUUUUUAAUAGCUCA
Molecule: long non-coding RNA, 565 nt
Organism: Suricata suricatta (meerkat)
Lineage: Eukaryota; Metazoa; Chordata; Mammalia; Carnivora; Herpestidae
Exons: 3
Source: RefSeq, a predicted model, not a curated record